RNAcentral lists this ribosomal RNA (238 nucleotides) under uncultured Fastidiosipila sp. RNAcentral describes it as "partial 16S ribosomal RNA". It matches the Rfam family "Bacterial small subunit ribosomal RNA", at positions 1147 to 1382 of the family's 1533-position model. Lineage: Bacteria; Bacillati; Bacillota; Clostridia; Eubacteriales; Oscillospiraceae. The record is from RNAcentral.
ACCGGUCCGUUAAAGCCGGAGGAAGGUGGGGAUGACGUCAAGUCAGCAUGGCCUUUAUGUCCAGGGCUACACACACGCUACAAUGGUCAGCACAAUAGGUAGCCAAGCCGCGAGGUGGAGCCAAAUCCUCAAAGCUGGCCUCAGUUCAGAUCGCAGGCUGCAACCCGCCUGCGUGAAGCCGGAGUUGCUAGUAACCGCAGGUCAGCUAUACUGCGGUGAAUACCGGUUCCCGGGGCUU